Molecule: long non-coding RNA, 696 nt
Organism: Gasterosteus aculeatus aculeatus (three-spined stickleback)
Lineage: Eukaryota; Metazoa; Chordata; Actinopteri; Perciformes; Gasterosteidae
Source: Ensembl
CUUAGUCACAUAUUUGAAAUAAUCUGAGGAAACAAAGUCACUUGUGAAGGCCAACAUCAGUGUAUGAAUCUAAUAUAUAUGAAUUUAACUGUACUGUACAUGCUCUGCAUUAUGUUUAGCUGUGUGGAACUUUGACCUAUUAAAAGGGAAGCCGUCAACCUUUCCGUCCAACGACGGCACUUUCAAGCAUGGCACAAGUCUCACUCAGGAAGACCAGUGACUAAUAGGCAACUAAAAGGGCCGUUGAUGUUGAAUAGAUGAACAAAAAGAGAAUAUGCUGUCAAGAAUAGCCCCAGCUCGACACCAUCCUAUAGAGGGCGACCUGUGAUCAGAUGCUAUAUUCUCACUGCAUGUGGCUGCCGUCCUAUUGAAGUAUAAUUUCCAUUUACAGAAGGGUUUUAAUCACCUCAAUUCUUUCAAUGUAAACUACUGUGGAAUGUAGUUUAAUGUGAUUAAGUAAAAGCGUUUAGUACUUACAUCUAAACUGCAUGUAUUAUGAUAUCUUUCAUCACUUUCAUCCCUUUAACUUGGUCAAUUUUAUUACAAUGUAUUUGUAAUGCUAAAAAUACUUGCUAUGAUUGCUUUUUUCAUAUGUAUAAAUAUGUUGUUUGUUCGGAUGAUGCACUUCUUUGAAGCAAUUGCACACACCAAUUGGGAUUAAUUAAGUAAAUGUAACUCUACUCAGCAUCAACUUCC